AGGAACAUGUGGUUUAAUUCGAUGAUACGCGAGGAACCUUACCCGGGCUUGAAAUGCAUCUGACCGGCCUUGAAAGAGGCACUCCCUUCGGGGCAGAUGUGUAGGUGCUGCAUGGUUGUCGUCAGCUCGUGCCGUGAGGUGUCGGCUUAAGUGCCAUAACGAGCGCAACCCUCAUCAUUAGUUACCAUCAGGUAAGGCUGGGGACUCUAAUGAGACUGCCAUCGUAAGAUGUGAGGAAGGUGGGGAUGACGUCAAAUCAGCACGGCCCUUACGUCCGGGGCGACACACGUGUUACAAUGGGUGGUACAAAGGGCAGCUACCUGGCGACAGGAUGCUAAUCUCGAAAACCGCUCUCAGUUCGGAUCGGAGUCUGCAACUCGACUCCGUGAAGCUGGAUUCGCUAGUAAUCGCGCAUCAGCCACGGCGCGGUGAAUACGUUCCCGGGCCUU
RNAcentral lists this ribosomal RNA (449 nucleotides) under uncultured Proteiniphilum sp. RNAcentral's name for it is "bacterial SSU rRNA". It matches the Rfam family "Bacterial small subunit ribosomal RNA", at positions 933 to 1382 of the family's 1533-position model. The record is from RNAcentral. Lineage: Bacteria; Pseudomonadati; Bacteroidota; Bacteroidia; Bacteroidales; Dysgonomonadaceae.